GGUUCGGUGGUGUAGUGGUUAUCACGUCUGUCUCACAUCAAUGAAAUUUUCGAGAUGUACACAGGAGGUCCCCGGUUCGAAACCGGGUCGAAUCA
Non-coding RNA from Gymnopus androsaceus JB14, 95 nucleotides. Lineage: Eukaryota; Fungi; Basidiomycota; Agaricomycetes; Agaricales; Omphalotaceae. The record is from the annotation of a GenBank genome assembly.